Molecule: ribosomal RNA, 484 nt
Filed under: uncultured bacterium
Lineage: Bacteria
Description: partial 16S ribosomal RNA
Rfam family: Bacterial small subunit ribosomal RNA
Source: RNAcentral
AUUGAACGCUGGCGGCAGGCCUAGCACAUGCAAGUCGAGCGGAUGAAGGGAGCUUGCUCCUGGAUUCAGCGGCGGGCGGGUGAGUAAUGCCUAGGAAUCUGCCUGGUAGUGGGGGAUAACGUCCGGAAACGGGCGCUAAUACCGCAUACGUCCUGAGGGAGAAAGUGGGGGAUCUUCGGACCUCACGCUAUCAGAUGAGCCUAGGUCGGAUUAGCUAGUUGGUGGGGUAAAGGCCUACCAAGGCGACGAUCCGUAACUGGUCUGAGAGGAUGAUCAGUCACACUGGAACUGAGACACGGUCCAGACUCCUACGGGAGGCAGCAGUGGGGAAUAUUGGACAAUGGGCGAAAGCCUGAUCCAGCCAUGCCGCGUGUGUGAAGAAGGUCUUCGGAUUGUAAAGCACUUUAAGUUGGGAGGAAGGGCAGUAAGUUAAUACCUUGCUGUUUUGACGUUACCAACAGAAUAAGCACCGGCUAACUUCGUG